CACCUUACACCUUACACUGUGAUACGUUGCCAAUUUAAGCCAGAGUUUUGGUGAUUGUGUCUGUUUCAAGAAGACUAUCCUCAGCUCAACUCAGGUCCAUCUAAAUCAUCUCAGAGGAAAAUUCAAAGCCCCAAGUCCUUCAAGGUACCCAAGUCUCCCCCUCCUGGUUUCUUUGCUGCCCAGGUGCACAAAGUGUGUCCCAGAGUCUAAAGAUAGAUGUGGAUCAGCUAUGGUCUGGAUGUUUAUGUUCGCCCGAAAUUCAUGGGUUGAAAUCCUAACCCCCAAGGUGAGGUUAUUGGGAGGUAGGGACUAUGGGAUUGUUAGGUCAUAAUGGCAAGACCUUCGUAAAUGGGAUUAGUGCCCUUAUAAAAGAGGCCUGAGAGACACUCCUCGUCCCUUCCACCAUGUGAGCACAUGGCAAGAAAGUGCCAUGUAUGAACCAUAAAAUAGGCCUUCUCCAGAUAUUGAAUCUGCCAGUACCUUAAUCUUGGACUUCUCAGCCUCCAGAACGAUGAAGACCCCUAGACUUCAGAGAAGAUGAUAUCUAAGUGUCAGAGCUGGGAUUCCAAACCAGAUCUGUCCAGCUCCGAAGACUGAGCUCAUAACCCUUAACACUAAUCCCCUCUCUGACCCAGCGCUGUGAUUCUAGGCUAGUCUGAUUAAAGCCCCAGAAUUUCACAACCUUUUAAGAAUACAGUCAAGAAAGAAGAGAUCAUUGUUUCAACCUGCCUCUGAAUCGUAGUAAAUAACGGGCCCUGAUAUUAACAAGGCAGCUUCCCUCCUAAGUGCGAAGGACCCUUGAAAAGGGUAUCUUAAUCAUGGGUGUCAUAUUUUAUGAUUGUGUCUGUUUGUAUUUAGUACACUUGUUAUCCUUGAUGUUUUCGCCCUGAGGACAUCAACUGAACAAAGUUGCAUACAUCUUUGUGGAUUACCCUUUCUGCAUCCAUAAGUUAUCUGCUCUUUUAAAAUAAUUUGUACUAAAACACCGAGAGUUUUUUCUAAUGGGAAUAGACAGCUAGUGUUUUUUUAAUGCAAAUGACUUCUCCCCACAUUCUCCCCAGCCCAAAGCUAAAUCUGCAUCAGCAUCGGAGGGGCUCGGUGCUUCUAGAAGCAAUUUAGGCACAGCAGUUGGGAAUGGCAGUGUGACUUAAAGCCCCUUGCUCCGUAUUAGGGAAAGCUACAUGCGAAUUCCGAAAGAGAUUCCAUAGGAUGAGCAGAGAUGUGUUCAGGGCAUUUAUUAUCAUACUCGCUGCUCUUGUUUUUAAGAAACCAGCUUCUGUUCAGGUGGUUUUGUUUGUAUGCAAAGAUUAAACUGUUAAAUAAAAUCACAAGCACCGUC
This 1339-nucleotide long non-coding RNA is filed under the name Homo sapiens (human). Its description in RNAcentral is "HSALNT0332659". The record is from RNAcentral. Lineage: Eukaryota; Metazoa; Chordata; Mammalia; Primates; Hominidae.